RNAcentral lists this non-coding RNA (252 nucleotides) under Peptostreptococcus stomatis. Its description in RNAcentral is "T-box sequence". It matches the Rfam family "T-box leader". From Rfam's summary of the family: Uncharged tRNA acts as the effector for transcription antitermination of genes in the T-box leader family. The record is from RNAcentral. Lineage: Bacteria; Bacillati; Bacillota; Clostridia; Peptostreptococcales; Peptostreptococcaceae.
AUCAAGACGUUGAAGAGAAGAGUAAAAAGUCAUUCAAUCAGUACAGAGACAUUUCGGUUGGUGAGAGAAAUGAGAGAGAAGCUUUUGAACAUGGCCUUGGAGUCAUCGCAUCGAGAUCUAAGUAUUUAGGUUAAGGUUGCGACGGGUGUGCCCGUUAUAGCAUUGCGAGUAUGAUGGUACUCAAUAAGGUCUUUUUAGUGAUAAAAAGAUGAAUUAAGGUGGUAACACGUGAGUUAUGCUCUCGUCCUUUAU